AUGCCGGAUGCUCCAGUUGAUCGCAUGGUCUUCUGGGAAAGCUUUCGCGGUAUGGGAUGGGGUCGCGUCCUAUCAGCUUGACGGCGGGGUAACGGCCCACCGUGGCUUCGACGGGUAGCCGGCCUGAGAGGGCGACCGGCCACAUUGGGACUGAGAUACGGCCCAGACUCCUACGGGAGGCAGCAGUGGGGAAUAUUGCACAAUGGGCGCAAGCCUGAUGCAGCGACGCCGCGUGAGGGAUGGAGGCCUUCGGGUUGUAAACCUCUUUUAUCGGGGAGCAAGCGAGAGUGAGUUUACCCGUUGAAUAAGCACCGGCUAACUACGUGCCAGCAGCCGCGGUAAUACGUAGGGUGCAAGCGUUAUCCGGAAUUAUUGGGCGUAAAGGGCUCGUAGGCGGUUCGUCGCGUCCGGUGUGAAAGUCCAUCGCUUAACGGUGGAUCCGCGCCGGGUACGGGCGGGCUUGAGUGCGGUAGGGGAGACUGGAAUUCCCGGUGUAACGGUGGAAUGUGUA
Molecule: ribosomal RNA, 511 nt
Filed under: Bifidobacterium longum
Lineage: Bacteria; Bacillati; Actinomycetota; Actinomycetes; Bifidobacteriales; Bifidobacteriaceae
Also listed under: 1 other name
Description: partial 16S ribosomal RNA
Rfam family: Bacterial small subunit ribosomal RNA
Source: RNAcentral